RNA transcript from Oncorhynchus gorbuscha (pink salmon), 3178 nucleotides. It is a transcript of the gene named protocadherin-20-like, with no coding region annotated. The transcript is spliced from 4 exons. NCBI's taxonomy places the organism in Eukaryota, Metazoa, Chordata, Actinopteri, Salmoniformes, Salmonidae. The record is from RefSeq and is a predicted model, not a curated record.
GGAGGAGACGAUGUUAACAGUAUCCAGGUAGGCUACAGGUACAGCUACCUCCAGCCCCAGUCUUCCUACUCUUAGCAGAGGUGGAGGCAGAGGAAACCCAGACAGGUGUCAUGUGUGUAGGCUACGGGCCAUGGGACGGAUGAAAAUAUGAACUGGGCUGUACUCCUUCAGAACGUGCUGGUCAUGGUCCAUCUCAGGCAGAUCCUGUGCUACGGUUCUGUUCGGCUCUCGGUUCCAGAGGAGCAGGAGGCUGGGGUCCGGGUCGGGUCCAUCGGGUCCACGUUCCCCCCCCUUUACCAGCUCCUGACCCAGUUCUACCUCAGGGUGGACCAGGGGACAGGGGAUGUCUACACCACCGACAACAGGAUGGACCGAGAGGCCCUGUGUCCUGACCAACUCCAGGCUGAGGAGUGUAUCGUCCCACACGACGCCAUCGUGGGCCCUGAGGCAGAGCUGGUGAAGUUCAUGGUAGUAGUAGAGGACAUCAAUGACCACGCUCCUCACUUUGACAACACUGAGAUCCAUCUGAGUGUCUCUGAGGAUGUGGCUGUAGGGGCCAGUUUCUUAUUGGACGACCAGGCAGAGGACAGAGACAUGGGACGUAACGGACAGCUGCAGUACCACCUAGAGGGCGCCGGUGGGUUUUUCAGUGUGACAGUAGAAGAAGAAGAUGAAGUGGCCAUUUUCUUUUUGGUUGUGCGACAAGGACUAGACCGCGAGAAGCAGGAUCUUCAUGAGUUGACUCUAGUGGCAGCAGACUGUGGUUCUACCCCACUAAGCGCCACAGCAACGUUAUUCAUAAAAGUGACUGACGUGAAUGACAACUGCCCAGAGUUUACCCUGGACAGCACCCAGAAGGUGGUUAUUACAGAGGACACACCCAGAGACACAGUAGUAGCCAGGGUCAGAGCCACAGACCUAGACCUGGGCCCCAACGCUGACAUUACCUACUCCCUCAGCCCCAAGGUCUCAGAACGGGCAAGGGAACUCUUCAGUCUGGACAGUCACACUGGCCUGAUCAGCCUGAGAGGAGACCUCAGAGACCGCCACAGUGACAGUGUUAGUGACAGGGGAGAGGAGGUGGUGUUGAAAGUGUUAGCCAGCGGCCCCCACUGCCCCCCUGCAGACACUCAGGUAACCGUAUCCCUGCUCCCCGCGCCAUACCAGGAGAAUGGCAUAAAGAUCAGGUUCAUAGCAGAGCAUCAAAACCAGACGAUAGUGUUGCAGGAAAACCAGCCCCCCACUGUCUUGGCUUUGCUAGAGCUACCGGGGGAUACUACUAGUGUUAGAGGCUCAUCGUAUCUCUCCAUUGAAGGAGAGGUGCCGUUCUCUUUGAGCCGGCAGAAUGGCAAAUACCUCCUGUCGACAUCAAAGCCUUUAGACUACGAGGUGAAGAGUGAAUAUCGUGUUUCUGUAGUGAUGCGUGGUGAUGUUGAAGAGCCUGCAGCUCACGGCUUCCCCAGGAGAGAGAUCCAGGUGAGGGUGGUGGAUGUGAAUGAUAAUGCUCCACAGUUUCUCCAGAGUCACUAUCUGAUAGACAUAGAGGAGAAUAACCCCUCUGGGGCGUCUCUGCUGAAAGUUAGGGCGCAGGAUGCAGACAGCGGUCAGAACGGGCGGGUCACUUACAAACUGGAUCGACCAUCACACACGGCGGCAGCAAUAACCCUUUAUAGAAUCGACCAGAACACAGGUCAGCUGACAGUUUCUGUACCCCUGGACAGAGAACAACAGGAUGUUCACAGACUGACUAUUGUAGCCAGAGAUAACGGCUCUCCUCCAUUAGAGUCCUCUGUGAUGGUGACGAUCACCGUCCUGGACCAGAAUGAUAACGCUCCUGUCUUCAUCACCCCUCACUUCAUGUUCUUCAUCCCUGAGAAUAUACCUCCCCUGGCCCAGGUGGGGAAGGUGGGGGUGUCAGACAUAGACGCAGGGCUUAAUGGGGAUGUGGAGGUGAGGGUGGUGAACAGCAGUGGCAGCCCCUUCGUCAUAGACAACGCCCAGGGGACGCUGCGCUGCAUGGCCGAUGUCGACCGCGAGAAGCAGGACCGCUACGAGUUAGAUCUGCUCGCCACCGACAACGGACGCCCGUCACCUCUGACCUCCGUCGCCAGGGUAACAGUGUUCAUCGAGGAUGUCAACGACAACCAGCCCCAGGUCAUCCUUCCCAGCAGCAACCUGUCGUGUCUCACCAUCUCCACUGGGACCACCACGGGCACCAUGGUAACCAAGAUCUACGCCAUCGACAAGGACUCAGGGUUAAACUCGGAGAUCACAUACACCAUUGCAGCGCGGGAACCACCGGGCACCUCUACAUCAUCCCAUCACCACAGCAGCAGUCCCUUCCAGCUGGACGCUCGGUCUGGUAAUGUGACCUUAGCCCAGAGACUCAUGGGUAAGGACCUGGGGAUGCACCACCUGUUCAUCGUGGUGACUGACGGUGGGAAACCAGCGCCCCUCCACACCACCGUCUGGGUCAAUCUGCUGGUCAACGACACCUUGGAACCAUGCCAUCUGGACACCAUGCCCAGAUCCCUGCCCUACAGACUGGCACAGACGCCCUCCGAAACCCCCUCCGAGAUGCCCGUCUGUGACAGACACACUCAGUUGAUCCUGCUGCUAGGCCUGGGCAUGAUGGUGGCCUCGCUCUGUCUGUUUCUGGCCACAGUUGUUUUAUACAUGAAACAGAGGAAGAGAUCUAGAGGGGAACAACAGCAGAGGAGGGGGAUAAAUGAGGAGAAUCAGAUUCCUCUACGCAUUCCGGAGAGAUAUUUCUUAGGAGAAGAGUUAUAACGAGAGAGAGGCUUGUUCUGACUGGACUCUAUAUUAUGAAUUGUUGACGUUUCUUGUAUACCUUUUUAAAAGCAUGAAAUUCUUAAAAUUAAAUACAAUUAAAAUACAUUUUCACUAUUUUCACACAAAGGAGUCUCUCUCUUUCAAUAUUCUAAAAUAAAACGCUCUGGUUAAAUGUCUGAUACAAUCGAAUAUACAUUUUAUCAAGCUAACAAAUGAAGGACUGAAGAAAUAAAGAAAACAGCUUUAAUAUUAAGGUGAGGUGAUGAAUUAAAGUUCAUCAUUGAUGUCAGGGUGGCUUAGUGGUUAGAGCAUUGGACUAAUAACCAGAAGGUUGCAAGUUCAAACCCCCGAGCUGACAAGGCACAAAUCUGUCAUUCUGCCCCUG